AUCCACACGACUCUCGGCAACGGAUAUCUCGGCUCUCGCAUCGAUGAAGAACGUAGCGAAAUGCGAUACCUGGUGUGAAUUGCAGAAUCCCGCGAACCAUCGAGUCUUUGAACGCAAGUUGCGCCCGAGGCCUUUUGGCUAAGGGCACGCCUGCCUGGGCGUC
This 163-nucleotide ribosomal RNA is filed under the name Catapodium rigidum. Its description in RNAcentral is "5.8S ribosomal RNA". It matches the Rfam family "5.8S ribosomal RNA". Rfam says of the family: 5.8S ribosomal RNA (5.8S rRNA) is a component of the large subunit of the eukaryotic ribosome. It is transcribed by RNA polymerase I as part of the 45S precursor that also contains 18S and 28S rRNA. RNAcentral also lists the same sequence under 2 other names. The record is from RNAcentral. Lineage: Eukaryota; Viridiplantae; Streptophyta; Magnoliopsida; Poales; Poaceae.